This 200-nucleotide ribosomal RNA is filed under the name uncultured bacterium. RNAcentral describes it as "partial 16S ribosomal RNA". It matches the Rfam family "Bacterial small subunit ribosomal RNA", at positions 8 to 232 of the family's 1533-position model. The record is from RNAcentral.
AGAGUUUGAUCCUGGCUCAGAACGAACGCUGGCGGCAGGCUUAAUACAUGCAAGUCGAGCGAUCGUGAGCAAUCACGGGAGCGGCAGACGGGUGAGUAACGCGUGGGAACAUACCCCUCGGUUCGGAAUAGCUCAGGGAAACUUGGAUUAAUACCGAAUACGGUCGAGAGGCGAAAGAUUUAUCGCCGAGGGAUUGGCCC